GAGAGCCGGAUGAACCGAGAAGUUCAAGUCCGGCUCUAAGAGAGCCUGGGGGUGAGAUUCCUCCAGGGUACUUACCUUCGUGUCCCGUUUUACUUAAU
This 98-nucleotide unclassified non-coding RNA is filed under the name Pelosinus fermentans. Lineage: Bacteria; Bacillati; Bacillota; Negativicutes; Selenomonadales; Sporomusaceae. The record is from RNAcentral.